RNAcentral lists this ribosomal RNA (253 nucleotides) under uncultured bacterium. Its description in RNAcentral is "partial 16S ribosomal RNA". It matches the Rfam family "Bacterial small subunit ribosomal RNA", at positions 524 to 776 of the family's 1533-position model. The record is from RNAcentral.
UACAGAGGGGGCAAGCGUUAUUCGGAAUUAUUGGGCGUAAAGGGCGCGUAGGCGGCUUCGCAAGUGACGGGUGAAAUCCCUCGGCUUAACCGAGGAACUGCCUGUCAAACUGCGUGGCUUGAGACCAGGAGAGGUGAGUGGAAUUCCCAGUGUAGCGGUGAAAUGCGUAGAUAUUGGGAGGAACACCAGUGGCGAAGGCGGCAUCCUGGACCGAGAUUGACGCUGAGGCGCGAAAGCCAGGGGAGCAAACGGG